UUUUUUAUUAUUGGUUUAUGAUUCCUGAAAGCCCUUCCGAAUUUGUGUAAUCUUUUAAGAACCUGGUUUGCCAGUGAGCCAAUAGAUAGCUAUGUCAGAAUAGUAAAUCAUCAAUGACAAAAGGAAAUGUUUUAAAGGCUCUCUUGAAAUCUAUGAUUUCUGAAUCAGUCCAGCCUCUUCUGUAUUCAAGCUGCCCAAUGUGAGCCAUGUUCUCUUUGUGCAGGUGCAUCCAGCCCCAAAGGUUCGGGGCAGCUGAUGCUAUCCCUUUGAUCUUUCAUAUUUCAAAUAAAGAUGAAUUGGCAACUUUCAUUUCUGAUGCAUAUUUAGGUUUGCCUAGGUUUGGUUUAUGCUGGUGUGAGUC
RNAcentral lists this long non-coding RNA (361 nucleotides) under Pan troglodytes (chimpanzee). RNAcentral describes it as "long non-coding RNA NONPTRT002011". The record is from RNAcentral. Lineage: Eukaryota; Metazoa; Chordata; Mammalia; Primates; Hominidae.